CAUAAUGCCCAACAUCUGCUUGCGGAUGUCCUGUGCCCUGCGUAAGGAGCGGGCUUGGAUAAAGUUUUCAUAGCACCAAGGAUUGGAAAACUUAUUGUUCUUCCAGGAAUUGUACACAGCCAGCAGAGUGAGGUGGUCACCUUCUGUCUGAUGGAACUUGGCUUUCUUCUGAUCAGCAAGUGCUUGUUUAUCCUUAGGCCUGUAGAACACAUUCUGAACAGACAGCAUGGAGACUAUUGUCAACAUUUCCUCACUGCAUCCCAGAUGUACAGACAUGAUCAACAUCUUACACAACAUGGGCUCCAACGGGAAUUCUGCCAUCCUGCGUCCAAGUCGAGUGAGCAGUCCCUCAUCAUCCAGGGCUCCCAGAGUGUACAGCUGCUCCAUGGCAGUGAUGAGAGUUUCCAUUGGGGGAGCAUCCAUAAAGUCGAAGGACAGCAAAUCAUUGAUGCCCAUAGCCUUCAGGGAGAGUACUGUACUGGCUAAAUUUGUUCUCUGGAUCUCAGGCACAUUGGUUGUUAGCAUUUCAUCUCGAUAAGCACGCUCUGUGUACAGCCUAUAGCAUUUCCCAGGUCCUGUUCUCCCA
Molecule: long non-coding RNA, 586 nt
Filed under: Gallus gallus (chicken)
Lineage: Eukaryota; Metazoa; Chordata; Aves; Galliformes; Phasianidae
Source: RNAcentral